AACCCCCCUUUUUUGUUCUUGUUCUGUACGAAGUAACACACACAAAUCACCACACUCAAAGCCUCCUAUCCUUUUUCCUAUUCCAAUCGGUUUCAACAACAGAUUUCAAAGGAAAACACUUGUAAUUUUUGUAAUAAUAAUCAUUUAGCAAGGAUAUUCAAGCAUCAUCAUCGUCAUCUUUAUCUUCUUGCUUUCAUUUCAAGAACACCAAAAGAAUUUGUUUGGAUAGACGUGGAGACUAGAUUAAUCAUUGUCAAGUUUGCUCAUCCAUUUUAGCUCUUUGAUCGCUAAGGUAACCAACAGUAAGUCUUGGAUCAGCUUGGCAUUUUAGGGCCAUUCUUUUGACUUUGGACGUACAAUUAGCGUCAGACAUAUGAGAACUAUCAUCUUAUUAGUUCUAAUCGUACUAGACUGUCCAAAUAUUUAUCUUGUAUUCAGUGGGCAAAAUUCCAUAUAUGGAUGACUUGUAUCCGUAUUUUGGGGUUCACAUUUGAACGAUUGUACUUGUAUUAGACUUGUAUUUGGUAUUAAAUGGAUGUAAUUUCUAUUA
Erigeron canadensis is the source of this 550-nucleotide long non-coding RNA. RefSeq lists it as uncharacterized. The transcript has 3 exons. NCBI's taxonomy places the organism in Eukaryota, Viridiplantae, Streptophyta, Magnoliopsida, Asterales, Asteraceae. The record is from RefSeq and is a predicted model, not a curated record.